UGUUAUGUGGCUUAGUUGGUUAACGCGCCGGUCUAGCGAAUACGGAGUCUUGGGUUCAAAUCCCACCAGAACGC
Non-coding RNA from Aedes albopictus (Asian tiger mosquito), 74 nucleotides. The record is from Rfam. NCBI's taxonomy places the organism in Eukaryota, Metazoa, Arthropoda, Insecta, Diptera, Culicidae.